Molecule: long non-coding RNA, 1400 nt
Organism: Rhipicephalus microplus (southern cattle tick)
Lineage: Eukaryota; Metazoa; Arthropoda; Arachnida; Ixodida; Ixodidae
Source: RefSeq, a predicted model, not a curated record
AUGUCUUUUCAGGUGCACUCCUAUGAAGUUUCCUGCUAUGACUCCAUGAAAUGUUCAUGCUCCGCAAACCGUAUAGAACUGACGCAGGAAUGGUGGCUUGUUGCGCGCCGGAUUUGCUGAAUUUAUGAAGGCUCCGGAAGAUUACGUCACCUUUCGUCGACGUUACAUUUUUUAUAAAGCGACCAGCAGGCCUCCUCAAGAGAGACAUUAGCGAAAAAGGCACGUUGACAAAACAAUUACUAAAUGCUUCGCAUUCAUAGCUUUCCUAUAAAACGAUCCCUCUGAUUAUGCUACUGAAAAUGCGCAUCCUGGCGAUGGCUGUCGUCGCACUUGCUGUCUUGACCAUGGCAUCGGGAGGCAGCACACUUGAAUGGCAAGGCACCGAGUCCGAAUUCGGCAGAGAAGAUCGCUCGUUGAGCCUGAGUUCAUUUGGAGAUACUGUGAAGAAGAUCUGGAAUAAUUUGGUGCAAAAUUUUAUCAGCUUCAUGCUUAGAUUAUUCAGUUUGCCAGUUUAACUUAAGAGAGCGAAAUCUGCCUGCAGUACUAGACGUAAUACUAUCGAUGGCGUAUCAGACUGCAUACUCCGUAUAUUGCAAGAAAAAAAAGAAGCUCAUAGCUCAUUUGGAUAUCUUCACAUGUUAACUUCUUGGUGCUGAUGCUGAUAGCAGUUAUUCGUAGCGAGAACAUCACAAACAUAAUUGAAAGAGCCCUGACGCACUCCCACAACAAGCAGCGAUUUUCAGCAAGAAAUAAGUAGAGGGCCGAUCGGAUUUAUGCAUGCGUGAAAAAUACACUGUACAAGAAUAUUUCUACAAAAUAUACACGACAAGUAGACGGUAUUGAAGCCUGCUCCCAGCCGGCGGCCACCAUUCUGCACGACGUGUGUGAUUUCAUGUGCUGGUCCGGACGAAGUGGAGCUGGCUUCUUCAGCUAAUGUUUCACUCGCAGCAAAUAGUUCAAUUUAUUGCAAAUCUGAGCAAAUCUGAAAUCACUCGAUUGCACGCGCAGCUGUCAGGGGAGCAAAAUUGUUCGUCGGAAGUGCAGACGCACUUUCAGCAAGCAGUCUUUUUACGUCAGCAUUGGCCGAUUCUCAGGUGUCUCGCACCUUAAUAAGACAACUGAACUAUGAAGUGUUCACCCAAAUCCGUAAAAACCUCUCAAGAUUAUUCGUGAAGGCACAUGAGUUAACCCAGGCAACACCGAUUACGAUGGAAGCUUGGGCGUCGUGGUCCCUUUAGACGUUAUAACGUUGUCUGCCUCUAAGAUGGCAAUUUGCGAACGUUGAAGACAUGUUGUUUUGUUGUUUUGUUUUGAAUGGUUUCAUUGCUUUGAUUACGGAAGUGUGAGAGUAAAUCUCCGAAGUCCUUUUUCUGCGAAUAAAUAAGGUUGGACGCCUUCGA